AGAGUUUGAUCCUGGCUCAGAGCGAACGCUGGCGGCAGGCCUAACACAUGCAAGUCGAACGAACUCUUCGGAGUUAGUGGCGGACGGGUGAGUAACACGUGGGAACGUGCCUUUAGGUUCGGAAUAACUCAGGGAAACUUGUGCUAAUACCGAAUGUGCCCUUCGGGGGAAAGAUUUAUCGCCUUUAGAGCGGCCCGCGUCUGAUUAGCUAGUUGGUGAGGUAAAGGCUCACCAAGGCGACGAUCAGUGGCUGGUCUGAGAGGAUGAUCAGCCACAUUGGGACUGAGACACGGCCCAAACUCCUACGGGAGGCAGCAGUGGGGAAUCUUGCGCAAUGGGCGAAAGCCUGACGCAGCCAUGCCGCGUGAAUGAUGAAGGUCUUAGGAUUGUAAAAUUCUUUCAGUAGGGACGAUAAUGACGGUACCUACAGAAGAAGCCCCGGCUAACUUCGUGCCAGCAGCCGCGGUAAUACGAAGGGGGCUAGCGUUGCUCGGAAUUACUGGGCGUAAAGCGCACGUAGGCGGAUAUUUAAGUCAGGGGUGAAAUCCCAGAGCUCAACUCUGGAACUGCCUUUGAUACUGGGUAUCUUGAGUAUGGAAGAGGUAAGUGGAAUUGCGAGUGUAGAGGUGAAAUUCGUAGAUAUUCGCAGGAACACCAGUGGCGAAGGCGGCUUACUGGUCCAUUACUGACGCUGAGGUGCGAAAGCGUGGGGAGCAAACAGGAUUAGAUACCCUGGUAGUCC
Molecule: ribosomal RNA, 742 nt
Filed under: uncultured bacterium
Lineage: Bacteria
Description: bacterial SSU rRNA
Rfam family: Bacterial small subunit ribosomal RNA
Source: RNAcentral